Molecule: long non-coding RNA, 1005 nt
Filed under: Camelus dromedarius (Arabian camel)
Lineage: Eukaryota; Metazoa; Chordata; Mammalia; Artiodactyla; Camelidae
Description: lncRNA (ENSCDRG00005014331.1)
Source: RNAcentral
GGUAGAAAUAUUACCUUUACCAUAGUAUGGCUUUUUGACGUGGCUGUCGCCGGCCUUCGGCUUCCUCUCCUCCCCGGGGAGCGGUCGUGGCGACUGGUCCUCGUAGGACCGCAUGCUGUCCCGCCUUCCAGCCUCCAGCGCCAUCUUCUCCCUCAUGGCCUUGGCCCGCUCCGUCUCCAGAGCGAUGGCCUUCUCCAGGAGGGUCAGGUUCCCCUUGGUCAUGUCGAACACCUCCUCGGACCGGUCCGAGUUCACAGAGGCCGCGUCGUCGUCCCCGCCGCGGUACCCGUCCUCCCUGGCACAGCUGGAGAAAGUUCUGGAGCGCGGGCUCAGCUGCUCCUCCAGCCGCAUCAGGUUCACCAUGUCGGAGUAGCUGCGGUCGGGCGUCCGGCCCGGGAAGUCAUCCUCCUGCCGGCCGAGCGGGCGGAGGCCGGGGUUGGGAGGUGCGGGCCGGUCCUGCGGAGCAGUCUCGCUCAGCUUGCGGGCCAGGUCGAAGCACUGGUUCCGCAGGCACUCCAGGCUGCUCAGACACGCCUCCUCAUCCCUCUCCUCCGCCAGCUUCUCGGCCAGCCCGCCGCCCGCCGGCUUGCCGAGCAUCACGUAGUUGAGGCUGCGCGCGUCCGGCGGCGCCAGCGGGUCGGCGUAGGCCCGGUCGGCGGCGCUGUCCGCCAGCACCACACCGUGGCCCUGGGCCAGCAGUUUCAGGGAGUCCACGGUCUCGCGGACCACGUCGCUGUCCAGGUCCAGGCUGAGCUCGGCCUUCCGGCCAAGGCCCUCGGGCUUGUCGCCCUCGUCCUCCAGGCUGUGGGAGGUGCUGCUGUUCAUCUCAGACUCGGUCCGGGCGCGGAAUGCGGCAUCCUCGGCGAUCUUGCCCAGGUUCAGAAGGGACUUGGCCACCAGCUCGUCAUAGUUGUCGUACUCGUCGUUGUCGUCGUCCUUCCCCACGUCCUGCGUGCCGCGAGGGUUGUGGCAGCUCCCCUGGCGGGCCUCUGCAAAGACAAUUAA